RNAcentral lists this ribosomal RNA (427 nucleotides) under uncultured bacterium. RNAcentral's name for it is "partial 16S ribosomal RNA". It matches the Rfam family "Bacterial small subunit ribosomal RNA", at positions 355 to 774 of the family's 1533-position model. The record is from RNAcentral.
UGGGGAGUAUUGCACAAUGGGCGCAAGCCUGAUGCAGCCAUGCCGCGUGUAUGAAGAAGGCCUUCGGGUUGUAAAGUACUUUCAGCGGGGAGGAAGGCGAUAAGGUUAAUAACCUUGUCGAUUGACGUUACCCGCAGAAGAAGCACCGGCUAACUCCGUGCCAGCAGCCGCGGUAAUACGGAGGGUGCAAGCGUUAAUCGGAAUUACUGGGCGUAAAGCGCACGCAGGCGGUCUGUCAAGUCGGAUGUGAAAUCCCCGGGCUCAACCUGGGAACUGCAUUCGAAACUGGCAGGCUAGAGUCUUGUAGAGGGGGGUAGAAUUCCAGGUGUAGCGGUGAAAUGCGUAGAGAUCUGGAGGAAUACCGGUGGCGAAGGCGGCCCCCUGGACAAAGACUGACGCUCAGGUGCGAAAGCGUGGGGAGCAAACA